AGAGUUUGAUCCUGGCUCAGAAUCAACGCUGGCGGCGCGCCUAACACAUGCAAGUCGCACGAGAAAGGCUCCUUCGGGGGCCGAGUACAGUGGCGCACGGGUGAGUAACACGUGGAUACCUGCCCUCAAGUGGGGAAUAACUUUGGGAAACCGGGGCUAAUACCGCAUACGUUCGAGAGAAGAAAGCAGCAAUGCGCUUGAGGAGGGGUCCGCGGCUGAUUAGCUAGUUGGUGGGGUAAAAGCCUACCAAGGCGAAGAUCAGUAGCUGGUCUGAGAGGACGAUCAGCCACACUGGAACUGAGACACGGUCCAGACUCCUACGGGAGGCAGCAGUGGGGAAUUUUCCACAAUGGGCGAAAGCCUGAUGGAGCAACGCCGCGUGUGUGAUGAAGGUUUUCGGAUCGUAAAGCAACUUUCGACCGGGGAACGGAAAAAACCUUACUGGCUAAACAUCCAGGGGCCUGACGGAACCGGAGAAG
RNAcentral lists this ribosomal RNA (479 nucleotides) under uncultured bacterium. RNAcentral describes it as "bacterial SSU rRNA". It matches the Rfam family "Bacterial small subunit ribosomal RNA", at positions 8 to 487 of the family's 1533-position model. The record is from RNAcentral.